CCCCUCGUUCAUAGUCAUAUUUCUAUGGUUCAGACAUUGGAGUGAGUUUUGAUACCUAAAACCAAACGAGGGGGUUGGCGGCUAAAAAGAAAAAAGGAAGAAGGAAAAUGGAAAACAGAAUCGCCCAACAAUUGGGCAAUGGGCCUCAUGCCAUUAACGAAGAAAAAUGAGAAAAAGCCAAAAAAAGUUGAAAUCGCGGGGAUUUGUUGAAUUACAGCCGCCCAUCCCUUCAAAUUACAGCAGUCUAAGAAGCAAAUGAUACAGUUUAAGGUGUUUACACGGGGUAGACUGUUGAUAACUGAUGUCGUUGUUCCUCAGUUGUAAUUUCCUCAAUCAGCAGAAACCGAACCAACCAAUGGCCAUAGAAAGAAGAAGCGCACUAGGAGAAGAAGAAAACAAGAAAUGGAGGCUUAGCAGCAGAACGUGAUUCUCUAUUUUCCCCAAAAGAGAAAAGAAAAGAAAUAUGAGGGGAAAAAAAAAUGCAGGCAGUCUAAUGUUUGCCAAAAGAAAAAAAUAAAGAAAGGAAUUAGAAGAAAGAAGAAUUCUGUGAAGAUCUCUCUUUCCUGCACUUCUUCAGACUGAGAUCGUUGAUGAUCUUCUCAAGUUGUUUGUUCUCUAUUGUCUUCUCAGUUCUCAUUGAGUAUGUCUCUUUUGCUCCUUCAGAAGAUUUCCUUUUUCUUUCCUGGAUCCUAAUACCCCUCCCCCUCCAACCCCCCUUUUUUGGCUUGAAAGAUGCGCAUGCUAAAGGCCUUGUGCCUUAACCCAGGUGUGCGCUUGUUAAUCGCUUUUAUGCAGCACCUCAACUGAAGUCUGGUGAGGCGCCAAUUCUGCUCUGUCGGUUGCCUCAGCACCUGAAGCUUGGCUUUGGUUUUGUUGGAGGCAUGUUGAAAAUGUUCAUAAGUGUUAAGUUCUAAUUUAGCGACGUCCUAUAUUGAACGAAUUGUAUUUUGUUUGAGACCUAUAAAUAUGUUUAUUCAUCAAAUUAUCUUGUCAUCAAUACACGUCUUUUCUUAUUCUUCACAAAUAGUUUAGAUAUACAUGUUGUGCUACUGGAACUUGUUUUCAUGACCAUAUUCCAUAGGGGUUUAGUAGUAUAGGUGCAAUGUUUUAUUGAAUAGGCUUCGUAAGUUUCUAUUUUGUUCAUUCGGACAUGUUCCCCUGUA
This is a long non-coding RNA of Nicotiana tabacum (common tobacco), 1163 nucleotides long. RefSeq lists it as uncharacterized. NCBI's taxonomy places the organism in Eukaryota, Viridiplantae, Streptophyta, Magnoliopsida, Solanales, Solanaceae. The record is from RefSeq and is a predicted model, not a curated record.